This 351-nucleotide ribosomal RNA is filed under the name uncultured bacterium. Its description in RNAcentral is "bacterial SSU rRNA". It matches the Rfam family "Bacterial small subunit ribosomal RNA", at positions 1155 to 1500 of the family's 1533-position model. The record is from RNAcentral.
CGGUCAACGGGGAGGAAGAUGGGGAUGACGUCUAAGUCCUCAUGGCCCUAUAUGCACAGGGCUAACACACGUGAUACAAUGGGCUGCACAAAGGGUUGUGACCCCGCGAGGGUGAGCCAAUCCCAAAAAACAGUCCUUAGUUCGGAUUGGAGUCUGCAAACUCGACUCCAUGAAGCUGGAAUCGCUAGUAAUAGUGGAUCAGCAUGCCACGGUGAAUACGUUCCCGGGCCUUGUACACACCGCCCGUCACACCAUGAGAGUUGGUUGUACCAGAAGUUGUUGGGCCAACCCGUUUGGGAGGCAGGCACAUAAGGUAUGGAUGAUGAUUGGGGUGAAGUCGUAACAAGUACC